AUCAUCUUGUCGGAGUGCCUGCAUUCCACAAACGCAUUCGCGAUGCCUCAGGGUAACGCGAAGGCGAUGUGGGAAAGGCUGAGACCGUUAAUUCGGGAUCCGCGGAACCUGAUCAGGUUAAGACCUGCGAAGGGAACAAGAGUAAUUCUGCU
This 152-nucleotide non-coding RNA is filed under the name Citrobacter rodentium. RNAcentral's name for it is "TPP sequence". It matches the Rfam family "TPP riboswitch aptamer (THI element)". Rfam says of the family: Vitamin B(1) in its active form thiamin pyrophosphate (TPP) is an essential coenzyme that is synthesised by coupling of pyrimidine and thiazole moieties in bacteria. The previously detected thiamin-regulatory element, thi box was extended, resulting in a new, highly conserved RNA secondary structure, the THI element, which is widely distributed in eubacteria and also occurs in some archaea. Analysis of operon structures identified a large number of new candidate thiamin-regulated genes, mostly transporters, in various prokaryotic organisms. The record is from RNAcentral. RNAcentral also lists the same sequence under 1 other name. Lineage: Bacteria; Pseudomonadati; Pseudomonadota; Gammaproteobacteria; Enterobacterales; Enterobacteriaceae.